RNAcentral lists this ribosomal RNA (370 nucleotides) under uncultured organism. Its description in RNAcentral is "bacterial SSU rRNA". It matches the Rfam family "Bacterial small subunit ribosomal RNA", at positions 526 to 896 of the family's 1533-position model. The record is from RNAcentral.
CGAAGGGGGCUAGCGUUGUUCGGAAUUACUGGGCGUAAAGCGCGCGCAGGCGGUUUUUCAAGUCAGUGGUGAAAGCCCGGAGCUCAACUCCGGAACUGCCAUUGAAACUGUAAAACUUGAGGAUGAGAGAGGUGAGUGGAAUUCCCAGUGUAGAGGUGAAAUUCGUAGACAUUGGGAAGAACACCGGUGGCGAAGGCGGCUCACUGGCUCAUAUCUGACGCUCAGGCGCGACAGCGUGGGGAUCAAACAGGAUUAGAUACCCUGGUAGUCCACGCCGUAAACGAUGAAUGCUAGCCGUUGGGCAGCUUGCUGUUCAGUGGCGCAGCUAACGCAUUAAGCAUUCCGCCUGGGGAGUACGGCCGCAAGGUUG